GACGAGCGCUGGCGGCGUGCUUAACACAUGCAAGUCGAGCGGAAAGGCCUUUCGGGGUACUCGAGCGGCGAACGGGUGAGUAACACGUGAGUAAUCUGCCUUGCACUCUGGGAUAGCCUUGGGAAACUGAGAUUAAUACCGGAUAUGAGCGCCUCGGGCAUGUGGGGUGUUGGAAAGUUUUUUCGGUGCAAGAUGUGCUCGCGGCCUAUCAGCUUGUUGGUGAGAUAAUGGCUCACCAAGGCCUCGACGGGUAGCCGGCCUGAGAGGGUGACCGGCCACAUUGGGACUGAGAUACGGCCCAGACUCCUACGGGAGGCAGCAGUGGGGAAUAUUGCACAAUGGGCGCAAGCCUGAUGCAGCAACGCCGCGUGCGGGACGACGGCCUUCGGGUUGUAAACCGCUUUCAGCUUCGACGAAGCGCAAGUGACGGUAGAAGCAGAAGAAGGACCGGCCAACUACGUGCCAGCAGCCGCAGUAA
This 478-nucleotide ribosomal RNA is filed under the name uncultured bacterium. RNAcentral's name for it is "partial 16S ribosomal RNA". It matches the Rfam family "Bacterial small subunit ribosomal RNA", at positions 28 to 523 of the family's 1533-position model. The record is from RNAcentral.